GACCGAAUAGUUCAAAUCGGAUAGAGCAACUGCCUUCUAAGCAGUAUGUUGUGGGUUCAAAUCCCACUGCGGUCGCCA
This 78-nucleotide transfer RNA is filed under the name Glaesserella sp. 15-184. RNAcentral describes it as "tRNA-Arg". It matches the Rfam family "tRNA". From Rfam's summary of the family: Transfer RNA (tRNA) molecules are approximately 80 nucleotides in length. Their secondary structure includes four short double-helical elements and three loops (D, anti-codon, and T loops). The record is from RNAcentral. Lineage: Bacteria; Pseudomonadati; Pseudomonadota; Gammaproteobacteria; Pasteurellales; Pasteurellaceae. RNAcentral also lists the same sequence under 1 other name.